This 485-nucleotide ribosomal RNA is filed under the name uncultured bacterium. RNAcentral's name for it is "partial 16S ribosomal RNA". It matches the Rfam family "Bacterial small subunit ribosomal RNA", at positions 29 to 506 of the family's 1533-position model. The record is from RNAcentral.
AUUGAACGCUGGCGGCAUGCCUUACACAUGCAAGUCGAACGGCAGCACGGGUGCUUGCACCUGGUGGCGAGUGGCGAACGGGUGAGUAAUACAUCGGAACAUGUCCUGUAGUGGGGGAUAGCCCGGCGAAAGCCGGAUUAAUACCGCAUACGAUCUACGGAUGAAAGCGGGGGACCUUCGGGCCUCGCGCUAUAGGGUUGGCCGAUGGCUGAUUAGCUAGUUGGUGGGGUAAAGGCCUACCAAGGCGACGAUCAGUAGCUGGUCUGAGAGGACGACCAGCCACCCGGGGACUGAGACACGGCCCAGACCCCUACGGGAGGGAGGAGGGGGGAAUUUUGGACAAUGGGCGAAAGCCUGAUCCAGAAAUGCCGCGUGUGGGAAGAAGGCCUUCGGGUUGUAAAGCACUUUUGUCCGGAAAGAAAUCCUUGCCCCUAAUACGGCGGGGGGAUGACGGUACCGGAAAAAUAAGCACCGGCUAACUACGU